CCAGCCAUCCCUAACCUUGCAG
Molecule: unclassified non-coding RNA, 22 nt
Filed under: Mus musculus (house mouse)
Lineage: Eukaryota; Metazoa; Chordata; Mammalia; Rodentia; Muridae
Description: oocyte_clustered_small_RNA12688
Source: RNAcentral